AACCCACCAAGCUGGAGGACUCUGUGCGCCACCUCCCAUCCGCAUUGCCCCACAAGCCUUCUCAGGACCCUGGCAACAGACAGCUGCUUCUCCCUUUCCCACCCUUCCCCUCCCAACCCAAAGUUAGAGGAAAACAAAGUAACUAGGAGGGCAGCCCGACUCCUGAGUGCCUCCUGGCGGCCACACUGCGGACAUGACUGGUGGGCCUUGAAAUCUGCCGUUAAUUCAGCUCCCUGCCCAUAUUUCUCCUAGGCCUGGAGCCUCUAGGGUGGGGCUCACUUUCCUGUAUGCUUCUCUUAAGUUGUAACCACUGACACUGCAUCUGCUGAUCCAACCUAAUCAGUGCAACCAGUACCAGCUUGGCAUGCUUCACUUUGGACUGCAUCCAGAGACGUCAGGCGUGGAAUGUCAACUCUUCAGCUUCAUUGCUCUGGACCUUGCCCUCAAUGCGGAUCAGCAAUGGUGCAGAAUAUUCCGCUCUCCGAAGGGAGGUUGGACAACAUACUCAACCUACUACUGGAGGAAGAUGGGUCCUGAAUUUAGUGCAGCCUGGAGUGUUCGUAGCCAUGACCACAGAAUGCGAGCUCAGACCUACAGGGAUGCAGAGGUCACACAGGCUCCUGUGCUGAUCAUGGGCCCCAGAUUAGACCAGUGGGGUUUACAGUUGACAAUAUUUAUACACUUUCCCCAUAUUUGGGAGCUACUCUCUUCCCUGACUCAGCUUUCCAGUCCUUUUUCCAACUAUGAUGCCAUCUCCCCAGACAAUGACCUGGGUCCUCCUGCAUACUAGAUGUCAGGUUCAGGCAAAAACUAGUAAAGUCAUAGGCCCCUUGGAAUAUUCCUAAAAUAGACCUACUAGCUUUUUCCAAAACAGAGACCCCAAAUGUUCAUCUGCAAUAUUUAUGCCUCUAGGAUCAUGAUUAGUCAACAAUUUGUUCUGCAUUAUAUCUUAACUCUUUUCAGCCACCAGGUUCCAGAUGCUACCAUGAUUUCAGCCUGACUUCCUUGGGCAGACGAUGCCACCAAUAUGUCCCGGAACCUUACCUCCCCAGACCCCUGUCCCCACUAGGGAAACAGAGACAGGCCGGGAGUAUGGAUCCACCUACCAACACCCAUGUUCAGUGGGGAAGCAAUUACAGAAACCAGACCUUCCACCUUCUGCACCCCAUAAUGAUUCUGGAUCCAUACUCCCAGAGGGAUAAAGAAUAGGGAAACUCAAGGGAGGGGAUUGGAUAGAGAGUUCUGGGGGUGGGAAUUGUGUGAAAUUGUACCCCUCUUAUCUUAUAGUCUUGUCAAUAUUUCCAUUUUAUAAAUAAGAAUUAA
Erinaceus europaeus (western European hedgehog) is the source of this 1323-nucleotide long non-coding RNA. RefSeq lists it as uncharacterized. The record is from RefSeq and is a predicted model, not a curated record. NCBI's taxonomy places the organism in Eukaryota, Metazoa, Chordata, Mammalia, Eulipotyphla, Erinaceidae. The transcript is spliced from 4 exons.